This 24-nucleotide microRNA is filed under the name Corchorus olitorius. Its description in RNAcentral is "mtr-miR520". The record is from RNAcentral. Lineage: Eukaryota; Viridiplantae; Streptophyta; Magnoliopsida; Malvales; Malvaceae.
CUUAUAUUUAGGGACGGAAGGAGU